UGAAAAUGCCAUCUGACCAGUUGAAGGGAAUCAGGGGAAGCUUUCUAAAGGAAGUGGCAUUUGGUCUAUACGUUGAGGGGCAGGUAAAUAUCUGAGUGGAAUGACUGGAUCAUAUGGUACAGUCAUGUGCCGCAUAAUGACAUUCAGUCAAUGACAGACUGCAUAUAUGAGGUGGUCCUGUAAGGUGAUAAUGGAGCUGAAAAAUUCCUACUACUGAACGACAUCAUAGCCAUUGUAACAUCAUAGCACAACCAAUCACCUUUUCUAUAUUUAGGAGCAAAGGCAAUACAAUGGAGAAGACAGUCUUUUAACAAAGGUGCUGGAAUAACUGGACAGCCAUGCACACACACAGAAAAGAAUCGAGACACAGACUUUACAUCUUCACAAAGGUACAACACUGAAGGCACCGCCCAUGAAAGAAACAACUGAUAGGCUGAACUCCAUUAAAAUUAAAAGCUUUUGCUCUGCAAAUACAAGAGAAUGAGAACACAAACCGUGAUGCUGAAGUUACAAGUCUGAACCACACGUAGACUAUCAUAGCAAGAUGGCUACAGAAGUUCUGGAAAUAUACCAGACGUGGCAAUGCUGCAGAGGAAGGAGGGAGAAUAUGCCUUUCUGCAGAUCUUUCUUGGAGGAGAGAUAAGGAGUUCAUAUGCUGGAAUGAUAGUGACACAGGAGUUUAACACUCCUACAGUAUCCAGAGCCUGGAUCCCUGAGUCAUCAGAUGGAGAAGAACUACUCAGGAGAGUCAUCCAACCUUCAUAGACAGUGGCAUGAGUGGG
This 782-nucleotide long non-coding RNA is filed under the name Homo sapiens (human). RNAcentral's name for it is "HSALNT0327117". The record is from RNAcentral. Lineage: Eukaryota; Metazoa; Chordata; Mammalia; Primates; Hominidae.